RNAcentral lists this ribosomal RNA (1430 nucleotides) under Pediococcus acidilactici. RNAcentral's name for it is "bacterial SSU rRNA". It matches the Rfam family "Bacterial small subunit ribosomal RNA". The record is from RNAcentral. Lineage: Bacteria; Bacillati; Bacillota; Bacilli; Lactobacillales; Lactobacillaceae.
GAUUAUGACGUGCUUGCCCUGAAUGAGAUUUUAACACGAAGUGAGUGGCGGACGGGUGAGUAACACGUGGGUAACCUGCCCAGAAGCAGGGGAUAACACCUGGAAACAGAUGCUAAUACCGUAUAACAGAGAAAACCGCCUGGUUUUCUUUUAAAAGAUGGCUCUGCUAUCACUUCUGGAUGGACCCGCGGCGCAUUAGCUAGUUGGUGAGGUAACGGCUCACCAAGGCGAUGAUGCGUAGCCGACCUGAGAGGGUAAUCGGCCACAUUGGGACUGAGACACGGCCCAGACUCCUACGGGAGGCAGCAGUAGGGAAUCUUCCACAAUGGACGCAAGUCUGAUGGAGCAACGCCGCGUGAGUGAAGAAGGGUUUCGGCUCGUAAAGCUCUGUUGUUAAAGAAGAACGUGGGUGAGAGUAACUGUUCACCCAGUGACGGUAUUUAACCAGAAAGCCACGGCUAACUACGUGCCAGCAGCCGCGGUAAUACGUAGGUGGCAAGCGUUAUCCGGAUUUAUUGGGCGUAAAGCGAGCGCAGGCGGUCUUUUAAGUCUAAUGUGAAAGCCUUCGGCUCAACCGAAGAAGUGCAUUGGAAACUGGGAGACUUGAGUGCAGAAGAGGACAGUGGAACUCCAUGUGUAGCGGUGAAAUGCGUAGAUAUAUGGAAGAACACCAGUGGCGAGCGGCUGUCUGGUCUGUAACUGACGCUGAGCUCGAAAGCAUGGGUAGCGACAGGAUAGAUACCCUGGUAGUCCAUGCCGUAAACGAUGAUUACUAAGUGUUGGAGGGUUUCCGCCCUUCAGUGCUGCAGCUAACGCAUUAAGUAAUCCGCCUGGGGAGUACGACCGCAAGGUUGAAACUCAAAAGAAUUGACGGGGGCCCGCACAAGCGGUGGAGCAUGUGGUUUAAUUCGAAGCUACGCGAAGAACCUUACCAGGUCUUGACAUCUUCUGCCAACCUAAGAGAUUAGGCGUUCCCUUCGGGGACAGAAUGACAGGUGGUGCAUGGUUGUCGUCAGCUCGUGUCGUGAGAUGUUGGGUUAAGUCCCGCAACGAGCGCAACCCUUAUUACUAGUUGCCAGCAUUCAGUUGGGCACUCUAGUGAGACUGCCGGUGACAAACCGGAGGAAGGUGGGGACGACGUCAAAUCAUCAUGCCCCUUAUGACCUGGGCUACACACGUGCUACAAUGGAUGGUACAACGAGUUGCGAAACCGCGAGGUUUAGCUAAUCUCUUAAAACCAUUCUCAGUUCGGACUGUAGGCUGCAACUCGCCUACACGAAGUCGGAAUCGCUAGUAAUCGCGGAUCAGCAUGCCGCGGUGAAUACGUUCCCGGGCCUUGUACACACCGCCCGUCACACCAUGAGAGUUUGUAACACCCAAAGCCGGUGGGGUAACCUUUUAGGAGCUAGCCGUCUAAGGUGACAGAUGAU